Molecule: non-coding RNA, 31 nt
Filed under: Homo sapiens (human)
Lineage: Eukaryota; Metazoa; Chordata; Mammalia; Primates; Hominidae
Source: RNAcentral
UGAUACUUGAGUGUAGAAGAUGUCUGCUGGG